RNAcentral lists this microRNA precursor (127 nucleotides) under Chlorocebus sabaeus (green monkey). Its description in RNAcentral is "miRNA (ENSCSAG00000025108.1)". The record is from RNAcentral. Lineage: Eukaryota; Metazoa; Chordata; Mammalia; Primates; Cercopithecidae.
GGGGCCGUGGAGCUGGCCUCGGCCUCGGCCUCGGCAUCGGGAGAGGCUGGACUUCCUGUCUCUCUGUGCUGAAUGGCUGCGAUGGCGCCCGCUCUCACUGACGCAGCAGCUGAAGCACACCAUAUCC